GUAGUUUUGGAAUAUAUCAUUGGGUGAAUAUACCAUGGUGUGAAUCCUGGGCUCUGUCUGCUAUCCAUCUGCAGCCCCACCACCAGUCUUGAAAACAGAAUGUGAUGAGAAGUCAACUCAAAAAUCAGGACUCAUAACAUCAAUCCAUGCCUUUGGGUUCCUAGAAGAGAAGUAACGUAGCAUUGAAGAUCGAAGAAGGUCACCAUAAGGAAAAAUUCCCAAAGCAAAAAACAAGCUUUGUGUACCACCAUUCCAUCCUGUGCAUCCGAGAAAGGAAGUCGAACAAUGAGAGCCA
RNAcentral lists this long non-coding RNA (295 nucleotides) under Homo sapiens (human). Its description in RNAcentral is "HSALNT0207749". The record is from RNAcentral. Lineage: Eukaryota; Metazoa; Chordata; Mammalia; Primates; Hominidae.